AGUUGCAAGAACUCCUCAAAUCCCUGUAGAUAGGGCUGCAACCCGUCUCCCUUUUUGGAGGCGGGACACGCCCAUCUAAUCCAAGAUCUAGAUCCUCCUGACAGAAUUGUAUUUUUCUUGAGGGCCUGGUAAGCCACAAAACACUACCAUAUACACAAGUUUCAAGUCUCUUCUUCUUAGAUAAUUAUUGUAUACACUGAACUAAACAGAUCCUGGAAGAAUCAAUUUUCUUCUUUCUUGAGGUCCUGGGUUGGAGAAUGAAUUCUUAAAGUACCUGGACGACUGGGACACUGGGAAAAAUCGGUUUCUAGCCGUAAGGAGCUUAAGUGCACUGCAUGGCUGCAACAAGAUGCUGUAGUGAUGCCACAAGGACUGAAGUUCACAGUCAGUCAAAUCAUUCAUUGACAUGGUAAAGCACCUGUUCAUCCUCCCUGACGCAAGUGCCUUUCUGAGUGAGCGAAUCGGCUAGAACCCUCUAACUACUUUUCUAUUUGAUGCACAUAAUUAUUUUUUUACCUGUGAUCAAACAACCAUAAUUAUAAUUGAA
Long non-coding RNA from Halichondria panicea, 547 nucleotides. RefSeq lists it as uncharacterized. Lineage: Eukaryota; Metazoa; Porifera; Demospongiae; Suberitida; Halichondriidae. The transcript is spliced from 3 exons. The record is from RefSeq and is a predicted model, not a curated record.